This 73-nucleotide transfer RNA is filed under the name Chlorokybus atmophyticus. Its description in RNAcentral is "tRNA-Ile". It matches the Rfam family "tRNA". From Rfam's summary of the family: Transfer RNA (tRNA) molecules are approximately 80 nucleotides in length. Their secondary structure includes four short double-helical elements and three loops (D, anti-codon, and T loops). Lineage: Eukaryota; Viridiplantae; Streptophyta; Chlorokybophyceae; Chlorokybales; Chlorokybaceae. The record is from RNAcentral.
GCAUCUAUGGCCAAGUGGUUAAGGCAAUCGACUCAUAAUCGAUUUAUCGCUGGUUCAAAUCCAGCUAGAUGCA